UCCAAAUGCAACUUUCUGACGCUUUAUCUGAUAGAAAUAAAGCUACAGAAACUAUUUCUUCCCUACAGGAAUUAGUUGCAGAGAAAGAAUCAAAGAUUGCAGAGAUGGACGCAGCAUCAAGUGGUGAGGCAGCCAGACUUAGAGCUACUGUGGAAACUGUAAAAGGAGAGCUUGCUCACCUCAGAAAUGAAAAUG
This is a non-coding RNA of Cucurbita pepo subsp. pepo (vegetable marrow), 195 nucleotides long. Lineage: Eukaryota; Viridiplantae; Streptophyta; Magnoliopsida; Cucurbitales; Cucurbitaceae. The record is from RefSeq and is a predicted model, not a curated record.